This 151-nucleotide small nuclear RNA is filed under the name Peromyscus maniculatus bairdii (prairie deer mouse). Its description in RNAcentral is "U1 spliceosomal RNA (ENSPEMG00000001113.2)". It matches the Rfam family "U1 spliceosomal RNA". From Rfam's summary of the family: U1 is a small nuclear RNA (snRNA) component of the spliceosome (involved in pre-mRNA splicing). Its 5' end forms complementary base pairs with the 5' splice junction, thus defining the 5' donor site of an intron. The record is from RNAcentral. Lineage: Eukaryota; Metazoa; Chordata; Mammalia; Rodentia; Cricetidae.
AUGCUUACCUGGCAGGGGAGACUCUGAUCAAGAAGGGUUUUCCCAGGUCAAGGUUCACACAUUGCUCUUAGUGUGUAUUAACCCUUGUGUUUCCUCCAAAGGCAAAUUAGUUUCUAUAACCCGCAGUAGUGGGAGACUGCAUCCACUCUUU